UACGUAGGGUGCGAGCGUUAAUCGGAAUACUGGGCGUAAAGCGUGCGCAGGCGGUGAUGUAAGACCGAUGUGAAAUCCCCGGGCUUAACCUGGGAACUGCAUUGGUGACUGCAUUGCUGGAGUAUGGCAGAGGGGGGGUGGAAUUCCACGUGUAGCAGUGAAAUGCGUAGAGAUGUGGAGGAACACCGAUGGCGAAGGCAGCCCCCUGGGCCAAUACUGACGCUCAUGCACGAAAGCGUGGGGAGCAAACAGG
This 253-nucleotide ribosomal RNA is filed under the name uncultured bacterium. RNAcentral describes it as "partial 16S ribosomal RNA". It matches the Rfam family "Bacterial small subunit ribosomal RNA", at positions 524 to 776 of the family's 1533-position model. The record is from RNAcentral.